UGGGAAUUUGGACAAUGGGCGCAAGCCUGAUCCAGCAAUGCCGCGUGCAGGAUGAAGGCCUUCGGGUUGUAAACUGCUUUUGUACGGAACGAAAAGCCUCUCUCUAAUACAGGGGGUGAUGACGGUACCGUAAGAAUAAGCACCGGCUAACUACGUGCCAGCAGCCGCGGUAAUACGUAGGGUGCAAGCGUUAAUCGGAAUUACUGGGCGUAAAGCGUGCGCAGGCGGUUUUGUAAGACAGUGGUGAAAUCCCGGGCUCAACCUGGGAACUGCCAUUGUGACUGCAAGGCUGGAGUGCGGCAGAGGGGGAUGGAAUUCCGCGUGUAGCAGUGAAAUGCGUAGAUAUGCGGAGGAACACCGAUGGCGAAGGCAAUCCCCUGGGCCUGCANUGACGCUCAUGCACGAAAGCGUGGGGAGCAAACAGGAUUAGAUACCCUGGUAGUCCACGCCCUAAAACGAUGUCAACUGGUUGUUGGGGAUUUAUUUCUUCAGUAACGAAGCUAACGCGU
Molecule: ribosomal RNA, 509 nt
Filed under: uncultured bacterium
Lineage: Bacteria
Description: partial 16S ribosomal RNA
Rfam family: Bacterial small subunit ribosomal RNA
Source: RNAcentral